GUGGUUGUAACUGAAUGGUAGAGUGCUUGCCUAACAUGUGUGAGGCACUGAGUUCAAUCCUCAGCACUACA
This 71-nucleotide transfer RNA is filed under the name Ictidomys tridecemlineatus (thirteen-lined ground squirrel). RNAcentral describes it as "Spermophilus tridecemlineatus (thirteen-lined ground squirrel) tRNA". It matches the Rfam family "tRNA". From Rfam's summary of the family: Transfer RNA (tRNA) molecules are approximately 80 nucleotides in length. Lineage: Eukaryota; Metazoa; Chordata; Mammalia; Rodentia; Sciuridae. The record is from Rfam by way of RNAcentral.